This 694-nucleotide ribosomal RNA is filed under the name uncultured bacterium. Its description in RNAcentral is "bacterial SSU rRNA". It matches the Rfam family "Bacterial small subunit ribosomal RNA", at positions 141 to 851 of the family's 1533-position model. The record is from RNAcentral.
GGAUAACACUUAGAAAUAGGUGCUAAGACCGCAUAAGCGCCCAGGGCCGCAUGGCCCAGGGUGAAAAACUCCGGUGGUAUAAGAUGGGCCCGCGUCUGAUUAGCCAGUUGGCAGGGUAACGGCCUACCAAAGCGACGAUCAGUAGCCGGCCUGAGAGGGUGGACGGCCACAUUGGGACUGAGACACGGCCCAAACUCCUACGGGAGGCAGCAGUGGGGGAUAUUGCACAAUGGGGGAAACCCUGAUGCAGCGACGCCGCGUGAGUGAAGAAGUAUUUCGGUAUGUAAAGCUCUAUCAGCAGGGAAGAAAGAAGACGGUACCUGAGUAAGAAGCCCCGGCUAACUACGUGCCAGCAGCCGCGGUAAUACGUAGGGGGCAAGCGUUAUCCGGAUUUACUGGGUGUAAAGGGAGCGUAGACGGCAAGGCAAGCCUGGAGUGAAAGGCGGGGGCCCAACCCCCGGACUGCUCUGGGAACUGUCUGGCUAGAGUGCAGGAGGGGUAAGUGGAAUUCCUAGUGUAGCGGUGAAAUGCGUAGAUAUUAGGAGGAACACCAGUGGCGAAGGCGGCUUACUGGACUGUAACUGACGUUGAGGCUCGAAAGCGUGGGGAGCAAACAGGAUUAGAUACCCUGGUAGUCCACGCCGUAAACGAUGAUCACUAGGUGUCGGGUGUUAAGGAACGCUCGGUGCCGCAG